CUUUCUGUUUCUCUAUGAUUUAGUCUUCUCUGUGCCAUUUCUGAGCUCAUGCAUAGGAAGUGGGAAGAAAGAAAACAGAAACUGGGCGGUGUGAUACGAAAUGAGAAGAAAACAGAAGUGACAGGCCCUACAGACUAGCAUAUGGUGGGCACUUAAAUAUUUGUGGUGUAACCGAUUGGAAGGCCAGCUCCAGAAGGUUGCCUGUUACGGAUUCUCUGUGGUGUGGCCUGAGGAGUCAGAGACAGGUGCCCAGAGACCCAUCUGCCUACGGAGUCCAGGAGUGUUUGCUGAGCAAAGGUAGUGGAAAGGAGAGGUCUUGGGAAACCUCGAGAAGGAGCCACCAAGGAGGCAGAGAAAAGGUGGGACUCAGAAGAGAUGCCCCUUCACAUCUCCUCCUCCCAGGAAAGGCAAGAGUCAAGAAGAUGCUAGAAGAAGACAGGAGAGAUGCAACAAGAUGUGGAACUAGAGAAAACCCAGACGCAUCACAGACUUCCUUGAUGAUGGAGAGGAGGCAACAUCAAGAAGAAGGUAGGUGUCCCUGGAACCUGAGAGAGACCUCUGGGUGAUAGUCAGUAAGGGCACAGGACCUCCAAUGCUACAGCUGCAAGGAACUGGAUCCUACCAGCAAUAUGAAUAAGCCUAGAAGGUGCUUCUUUGCAGACCCUCCCAGUAAAAGCCCAGUUAGCCAAUACCUUGACUUCAGUCUUAUGGAACCUGCCAAGUUAACCCAGACUUCUGAACUACUGACAGUGACACAAUUCAUUUAUGUGGCCACCAAGUCUGUGAUUGUUAUGAGAGAAAUAGAAAACCAAUACAAAUUGUGUAAUAAAAUGCACAGCAACAUAAAGAACCUCAACAAUACCAUGAUGAACAAAAGAAGCCAGACUCAAAAGAAUGUAUAUUGUGUGAUUUCACUUCAGUGACGUUCUAGACCUGGCAAAUCUAAGAAAUGAGAACAGUGGUUGCCUAAGGAGGGAGGGCUAUUGAUGGGAAAGGGGAAUGGUUGCACUU
Canis lupus familiaris (dog) is the source of this 1011-nucleotide long non-coding RNA. RefSeq lists it as uncharacterized. Lineage: Eukaryota; Metazoa; Chordata; Mammalia; Carnivora; Canidae. The record is from RefSeq and is a predicted model, not a curated record. The transcript has 3 exons.